GAAAGCAGGCGAGGUGGUCGCGAUCGGAGACGCUGUGCCUUUCGGGGUGCGGUGGCGUCCGGUUGAGGAAAGUCCGGGCUCCCCAAUGGCCAGGCUUGCUGGGUAACGCCCAGUGCGGGUGACCGUGAGGAGAGUGCCACAGAAACACACCGCCGAUGGCCGGUCACCGGGGCAACCCGACCCGUGCACAGGUAAGGGUGCAAAGGUGCGGUAAGAGCGCACCAGCAGCAUCGAGAGGUGCUGGCUUGGUAAACCCCGGCUGGGAGCAAGGCCCAGGGACAACGGUUGGCCAUGGCACCCGUCCCGCCCCCAAUGCGCCGCUCGAGGCCGCCGGUAACGGCGGUCCCAGACAGAUGAUCACCCUCCUCGCCCCCGGGCGGUGGAGAACAGAACCCGGCUUAUGUCCUGCUUUCUGCC
RNAcentral lists this RNase P RNA (417 nucleotides) under Synechococcus sp. CBW1002. RNAcentral's name for it is "RNase P RNA component class A". It matches the Rfam family "Bacterial RNase P class A". Rfam says of the family: Ribonuclease P (RNase P) is a ubiquitous endoribonuclease, found in archaea, bacteria and eukarya as well as chloroplasts and mitochondria. Its best characterised activity is the generation of mature 5'-ends of tRNAs by cleaving the 5'-leader elements of precursor-tRNAs. RNAcentral also lists the same sequence under 1 other name. The record is from RNAcentral. Lineage: Bacteria; Bacillati; Cyanobacteriota; Cyanophyceae; Synechococcales; Synechococcaceae.